This 266-nucleotide ribosomal RNA is filed under the name uncultured bacterium. RNAcentral's name for it is "partial 16S ribosomal RNA". It matches the Rfam family "Bacterial small subunit ribosomal RNA", at positions 28 to 262 of the family's 1533-position model. The record is from RNAcentral.
GACGAGCGCUGGCGGCGCGCCUAACACAUGCAAGUCGAACGGAGUUAUUUCUGAAUGAAGUUUUCGGUAUGGAUUUUUGGUAUUAAACUUUAAGUUGGCGAACGGGUGAGUAAACGCGUGAGUAACCUGCCCUGGAGUGGGGGACGAACAGUUGGAAACGACUGCUAAUACCGCAUAAGCCCACGGUGCCGCAUGGCACAGCGGGAAAGGAUUUAUUCGCUUCAGGAUGGACUCGCGUCCAAUUAGCUAGUUGGUUGGAGGUAACG